RNAcentral lists this ribosomal RNA (211 nucleotides) under uncultured bacterium. RNAcentral's name for it is "partial 16S ribosomal RNA". It matches the Rfam family "Bacterial small subunit ribosomal RNA", at positions 524 to 734 of the family's 1533-position model. The record is from RNAcentral.
UACGUAGGGUGCGAGCGUUAAUCGGAAUUACUGGGCGUAAAGCGUGCGCAGGCGGUUUUGUAAGUCAGAUGUGAAAUCCCCGGGCUCAACCUGGGAACUGCGUUUGAAACUACAAGGCUAGAGUGUAGCAGAGGGGGUAGAAUUCCACGGUGUAGCAGUGAAAUGCGUAGAGAUGUGGAGGAAUACCAAUGGCGAAGGCAGCCCCCUGGGU